GAUAAGGUGGGCGAUCCGGACGUGGGAGAACGAAGGUCGUCGCUUCGGAGGUGCUAGGAGUCCGGGAGAGUCAGGCUGUUGCCGCCUCUUAGCAGCGGGAAAUCGCGCACCGGUGGCUGCACACGCAGCAGCGGCGACCGUGCGCGCAGGGGGAAAGGAAGAGGAGGAGAGUGGCUCAAGGAGACCUGAUUUUCUUGAAUUUUUCGCAAUUCUGUAAACCCCAACAGGCUUCCCAGGCGUUAAAGUAAUUUGCGGGUGGCAGUGUAGAAGCCAAACCUGGAGCUUCCAGAAGUGAUUUCUGAAAAAUAAAUAGUUGAAUGUACAAGCACAGGAGUCUGAAAAACAAAAACAACAACAAAAACAAAAGCCAAAACCACAGGUGGUGACAAGUCAAGAUAUUAUAUCACCAACGUCGAAGAAGAUUCCUUUGUCCAAUAUUCAUCUCACCUCCAAUAUGAAGGUAACCAUGUUAUGGUUUUUAAAAAGAAAACUAUUACUUUUGCCUGCUUUUAGGUUUCAUAUAAAUAGAAUCCUACAGUAGGAACUUCGUGUAUGUUUCAUAUGUCUAGAAGAUUCAUCUAUGAAUUUGUGUGGAUUGGUCAUUCCUUCUAAUCCAUUGUUGAGUAAGAAUUCCAAUUGUGUGGAUAUGCUACAGUUUAUUUCCCUGUUAUACUUUGGAUUAUGUCCAGUCUUUUGCCAG
Dipodomys spectabilis (banner-tailed kangaroo rat) is the source of this 700-nucleotide long non-coding RNA. RefSeq lists it as uncharacterized. The record is from RefSeq and is a predicted model, not a curated record. The transcript is spliced from 4 exons. Lineage: Eukaryota; Metazoa; Chordata; Mammalia; Rodentia; Heteromyidae.